UGAAGCGGCAACAGCUCAAAUUUGAAAUCUGGCUCUUUCAGGGGUCCGAGUUGUAAUUUGUAGAGGGUGCUUUGGAGUCGACUGUGGUCUAAGUUCCUUGGAACAGGACGUCGCAGAGGGUGAGAAUCCCGUAUGUGGCCGCCAGUCUUCUCCGUGUAAAGCCCCUUCGACGAGUCGAGUUGUUUGGGAAUGCAGCUCUAAAUGGGAGGUAAAUUUCUUCUAAAGCUAAAUAUUGGCCAGAGACCGAUAGCGCACAAGUAGAGUGAUCGAAAGAUGAAAAGCACUUUGGAAAGAGAGUCAAAAAGCACGUGAAAUUGUUGAAAGGGAAGCGCUUGCAGCCAGACUUGCCUGUAGUUGCUCAUCCGGGCUUUUGCCCGGUGCACUCUUCUAUAGGCAGGCCAGCAUCAGUCGCGGCGGUUGGAUAAAUGUCUGCACAAUGUACCUCUCUUCGGGGAGGACUUAUAGGGCAGGCGGCAUACAACCAGCUGCGAUUGAGGUCCGCGCAUCUGCUAGGAUGCUGGCGUAAUGGCUGUAAGCGGCCCGUCUUGAAACACGGACCAAGGAGUCUAACAUCUAUGCGAGUGUUUGGGUGUCAAGCCCGAGCGCGUAAUGAAAGUGAACGGAGGUGGGAACCCCUCGGGGUGCACCAUCGACCGAUCCUGAUGUCUUCGGAUGGAUUUGAGUAAGAGCAUAGCUGUUGGGACCCGAAAGAUGGUGAACUAUGCCUGAAUAGGGUGAAGCCAGAGGAAACUCUGGUGGAGGCUCGCAGCGGUUCUGACGUGCAAAUCGAUCGUCAAAUUUGGGCAUAGGGGCG
RNAcentral lists this ribosomal RNA (814 nucleotides) under Preussia sp. 799_2_CY01. RNAcentral's name for it is "eukaryotic LSU rRNA". It matches the Rfam family "Eukaryotic large subunit ribosomal RNA", at positions 94 to 925 of the family's 3401-position model. The record is from RNAcentral. Lineage: Eukaryota; Fungi; Ascomycota; Dothideomycetes; Pleosporales; Sporormiaceae.